This 454-nucleotide ribosomal RNA is filed under the name uncultured bacterium. RNAcentral's name for it is "partial 16S ribosomal RNA". It matches the Rfam family "Bacterial small subunit ribosomal RNA", at positions 341 to 792 of the family's 1533-position model. The record is from RNAcentral.
ACGGGAGGCAGCAGUGAGGAAUAUUGGUCAAUGGGCGGAAGCCUGAACCAGCCAUGCCGCGUGAAGGAUUAAGGCCCUAUGGGUCGUAAACUUCUUUUGUUGUGGAGCAAUAAGGAUCACGUGUGGUCCGAUGAGAGUACACAGCGAAUAAGCAUCGGCUAACUCCGUGCCAGCAGCCGCGGUAAUACGGAGGAUGCAAGCGUUAUCCGGAUUUAUUGGGUUUAAAGGGUGCGUAGGCUGUCGGUCAAGUCAGAGGUGAAAGCCCGGGGCUCAACUCCGGAACUGCCUUUGAUACUGUCCGGCUUGAAUACUGUUGCCGUGGGAGGAAUGAGUAGUGUAGCGGUGAAAUGCAUAGAUAUUACUCAGAACACCGAUUGCGAAGGCAUCUCACGAAUCCGACAUUGACGCUGAGGCACGAAAGCGUGGGGAUCAAACAGGAUUAGAUACCCUGGUA